RNAcentral lists this microRNA (22 nucleotides) under Drosophila ananassae. RNAcentral describes it as "Dan-Mir-1175_3p (mature (guide))". RNAcentral also lists the same sequence under 9 other names. The record is from RNAcentral. Lineage: Eukaryota; Metazoa; Arthropoda; Insecta; Diptera; Drosophilidae.
UGAGAUUCUUCUAUUCUACUUU